CAGAUUGCAUGUUUGCUUGUGUGCAUUAUUAGGGUAUUUCAACAAGAACAUCAUGCAUGUCUUUGGUAAGGCCCGAUUUCUAACACAUGCAUGGAAUGAAUGAGCAUCCAAGAUGUACUAGAAAUGGUUUAAAUGCUUUUGUUCAUGCAUGAACACAAAAGAAAUGGAGAAGAACAUGAAAUAUUAGGUUUUGAUGUCACAUGAUCAUAUGUGCAUCUUUUCCACUCCUUGCAUGGGUUUGAUCCCGGAUUUUCACCAUCUCUAACACAUGCAUUGUGUUAUGGUGAGAAUCUACAAACCACAAGGGGAGAAUAAAGAUUUCUAGCCAUGGAAAGGCAUAGAAUCCGAAAAGUAGAGAAGACUAAGAAGAAAAAGAGGUUUAACCAUGAAACUAUGGAAGAAGAUGUUGUUGUUUACCUUGGUUUUGACCUUGAGAGAAGUAAGAACACUUCAAGGGCUUCACAAUCUCGAAAUUUUGCAGAGAAAUGAGAGGAUUUUCGUGAGUUUAGAGAGAGGGAAGAAGAGAGUGAAGUGUGUGAAGAGAGUGAAGUGAGAGAGUGAAGAGGAAGAGGUGGAGUGAGGGUUUAGGCUUAAUGAUUGUGUUUUGGGGAAGAGAGAGGGCAUGGGGAGAGGUGAUGGCCGGUUUUUGCAUGCCUUUUGGCCUCCUCUCUCCUAAAUUUUAAACUUUAUAAACUUCCCUCCUAUAUUUUAUAUAAAAACAUUCAUUUUUAUAAAAUGUUUAUUAAGCAAUUUGAUUUAUUUAAAAAUCUUGUUUUCAACAAAUAAUUUAUGAUUAAUACUUGUAAUUUAUAUUUCUAGUUCAUUGGUAUAAUCCAUAAUUUGAUUAAUAAAAUUUGAUAUUAGGAAGUUUAUAGCCAAAUUUUAUAAAGUUUUUAAGCUUUAUAAUUUAUAACUUUGGAUUUUUGGCUCUUUAGGGUUUUUGGAAUAUUGUUUGAUAUUCAACAACAUGUUGAAGUAUAAUUAGAAUGUUUUAAUUUAUUUUUAGAGUUUUAUACCCUAUUUCAAUUAUAACAAAGCUUGAAGCUUUAUUCUAAUUAUAGUAUUGGCAUUUCCUAUUGUAGCUAAGCAACUUACUAGAAUUGUAAGUAUCAAGUAUAUUAGUCCUAGACCUUAGUUGGAUCCUAGUUUAUGCAAGAUUUUUGACCUAAUUUAUACUACUAGGUCAUGGCAUGUUGUGCAUGAAUGGUUAUUAUAAAGAUGCAUGAGUCCAAGAAUGACCUGAAUUGGCAGUUGUCACAGUAUCCCCCACUUAAAAAGAAUUUCGUCCCGAAAUUCAUUCUAUGUCAUCGCUUGUCAUCGCAAGGGAAUAGUUGCGGAUACUUUUCCUUUAUGUAGUCCUCGCGCUCCCAGGUGUACUCCGGACCGCGUUUUGAGUUCCAUCGAACUUUCACAAUCGGGAUCUUACUCCGCUUAAGUUGUUUUACCUCCCUGUCAAGGAUUUCUAUCGGUUCCUCAACGAAGCUCAGCUUAUCAUUGAUCUUAAUUUCCUCCAGGGGUACUAUCAAUGUUUCGUCGGCUAGACAUUUCUUAAGGUUGGAGACGUGGAAUGUGUCGUGAAUGGCGCUUAACUCUUGGGGCAAUUGGAGUUUAUACGCUACUGGACCAAUCCUUUCAAGGAUUUCAAAGGGUCCAACAUAUCUCGGGCUUAGUUUUCCUUUCUUACCAAAACGCACAAGCCCUUUCCAAGGCGACACUUUUAAAAGUACCUUGUCUCCUACUUGGAAUUCUAAUGGUUUUCGACGAUUAUCCGCAUAACUUUUCUGACGAUCUCUAGCAGCUUUAAGCCUAUCCUUGAUGAUAGCAAUCUUGUCAGAUGUUUCCUGGAUAAGUUCGACUCUAGACAUCUGUCUGUCUCUGAUUUCUAUCCAGCAUAAGGGCAAACGACACUCGCGUCCAUACAAUGCCUCAUAUGGAGCACAUUGAAUACUCGUGUGGUAACUGUUAUUGUAGGAAAACUCAAUUAGAGGCAAAUGAGUAUCCCAAUUUCCUUUGAACUCAAUGACACACGCUCGUAGCAUGUCUUCCAAUGUUUGUAUUGUUCUCUCUGUUUGCCCAUCUGUCUGAGGGUGGUAAGCUGUGCUCAAAUCUAUCUUGGUUCCUAGUGCCCUCUGUAACAUCCACCAAAAUCGAGAUGUAAAACGACUAUCUCUAUCAGAAAUGAUAGAUAGGGGUACACCAUGCAGAGAAACAAUUUUGUCGAUGUAGAUUUGGGCCAAUUUUUCCAUCUUGAAAUCUUCUCGAAUGGGGAGAAAGUGUGCAGAUUUCGUCAAUCGAUCCACUAUGACCCAAAUUGAGUCAUGACCUUUAGCAGUUCUAGGAAGUUUGGUAACAAAGUCCAUAGAUAUUUGCUCUCAUUUCCAUUGGGGAAUUUCAGGUUGUUAACCCUUGGAAUCCAGACCCUGUCUUUAAAAUAACGAACUCCAUCAGGUUUGGUUUCAAAUCUUUCUUCCAAACCAUGUAAAGUUUCGCCUGGAAGAUUUUCCUUGCAUAACGCUUUCUCCUGGGCAUUAAUGAUUUGAGAUUUCAAGCUUGUCUGAAUUACCAUUCCCAAAGCUCUCACAUGGGAAGGUUUCACUCUUUCUUUCCUACUAAGAGCGUCGGCUACUACGUUAGCCUUCCCUGGGUGAUAUCGUAUCUCACAAUCAUAAUCACUAAACAACUCUACCCAUCUUCUCUGCCGCAUGUUUAACAUUUUCUGAUCCAGGAUAUGCUGAAGGCUUUUGUGAUCGGUAUAAAUGGUGCACUUGGUUCCGUACAAAUAAUGCCUCCAUAUCUUAAGGGCGAAAAUUAUUGCUCCUAGUUCUAGAUCAUGGGUGGUAUAAUUCUUCUCGUGCGGUUUGAGUUGUCUGGAAGCAUAUGCAAUGACCUUAUCUUUUUGCAUUAGCACACAUCCUAAUCCUUGAUGAGACGCAUCACAAUACACCACAAAGUUCUCUAAUCCUUCUCAUAAAGCCAGAAUUGGUGCAUUGCACAGCUUGUUUUUCAGGAUUUGAAACGCCUCUUCGUGUUUCUCUUCCCAGAGAAAUUUUCUAUCCUUUUGGGUCAAAGAUGUUAAUGGUUGAGCAAUCCUAGAGAAAUUCUCAAUGAAGCGUCUGUAGUACCCAGCUAAUCCUAGGAAUUGUCGUAUUUCUGUCAGGGUUUUGGGGGCCUCCCAUUUCUUGAUUGCCUCUAUCUUAGCUGGAUCUACAUGGAUUCCUCUUUCGCCGAUCACAUGACCAAGAAAAUGUACUUCCCGAAUCCAAAAUUCACACUUAGUGAACUUGGCAUACAAUUUAUGUUCCUUCAACAGCUCCAACACUAGCUUUAGAUGUCUAUUGUGAUCUUCUUUGGUCCGCAAGUAAACAAGUAUGUCAUCGAUAAAUACAAUUACAAACCUGUCUAGGUAUGGUCUACAGACCCUAUUCAUCAAAUCCAUGAAUACAGCGGGUGCGUUCGUUAGUCCAAAAGGCAUGACUAAGAACUCAUAAUGUCCAUAACGGGUUCUAAAUGUUGUUUUGUGAAUGUCCUCUUCGUGAAUUCUUAGCUGAUGAUACCCUGACCGAAGGUCGAUUUUUGAGAAGUAGGAAGCGCCCUGCAACUGAUCGAACAAGUCAUCUAUUCUAGGGAGGGGAUAUCGAUUCUUGAUUGUCAACUUGUUCAAUUCUCUGUAAUCAAUGCACAUUCGGAACGAACCAUCUUUCUUUUUGACGAAUAACACUGGGGCUCCCCAAGGUGAAGAACUUGGUCGAAUAAACCCUUUGUCUAGAAGUUCUUGAAGUUGUUCGGAUAGUUCUUGCAUCUCGGAUGGUGCAAGGCGAUAUGGUNAGCAACAUCGGGUGUUUCGUUCUGUGGGCGCCCGCGACUAGGCCUGCCUGACAUGGUUCUAUGACACAGGAGAAGAAAUACGUAUAAAUACAUAAAAUAAUGUAUAAUAUUUAGUUCACUACUAUUUUGAAAACCACAAGUGUUGUCAAAUCAUUGGUUUGCAUUAAUACUAGGCAUAUAGAUUUUAGAAAGGAAAGAAAAGAAAAAUCUUUUUAUUCGACCAUUGACUAAGAAAAUUCUAGGGUUUGACCUCAUACUAAAAGCUUUCAAACAUAAGAUAAAAUUCUUCAUUACCAUUUGAAAUAACUUUAAAACCAAACCAAUUCAUCAAUUGCAAAAUAAAGUUUUUAAAUGUUUUUCCCAAAAGACACCCAACAUGGGUUUUCAUUUCAUGACCAAAAUAAAAUAAAAUGCUAAAAUCAGAACCAAAAGCCAAUCGCUAGUCCAACAAGAAGCAUCAACACCACAAUUAGAAACAACCCUCCAAACACAUAAUAUGCUGUCAUCGCAUGACCUGCCUCUCGUCUAGCAGCACUAGCAGCGUUAGCAGUCUCCGUCGAAUGCUCAUACAGGAUUUGCAUUCCUGUCAUCACUUCGUUUAAUACCUCCUGUUGCCCGGCUAUUACAGCGAGGCUGUGGCGCAGAUCUGCUGCUAUCAAAUACAUCCUCCGGGACUCCUCCGGGGUCAUACCUGGCUGCCUAUCAGGUAUUCCUAUAACUUGCUGUGGUGGCGGUGCUCUCGGUCCUGCAACGCUGGGUCCUGCUCCGCUAGGUCCUGCCGUGCCAAGUCCUGCUGUGUUGGUGGCUAUCCUUUCUAGAAUGGGAACACUCUUCCUUGCCGUCCUCUGAAUACGAAGUCCAUAAAGUGGCGGUUGUGGCAACACCGAUGGAGGUGAUGCCUCGCGUCGUUGACUCGGGGCGUCGUCAUUGCUGAUCGCCACGGAGUUCCCUGUAUCUUCCGUAUCCUCUGAUGGGACUUCUUCUACCGAGGCGGGGGGAUUACGUCGAGGAAUAACAGUGACGUAGCCGGAUUCAUCGGCUGAGGCGGUAGCGCGGGAAGAUGACGAUGUUGACAUAGUGGACUGUGACAUAGUUUCAAUGAGAUAUGAAAUAAAUGACAAUGCAUGCCUAUAAUAUGCAAUGCUUACACACACCAAAAUUAACCUUUUGAAAUUUUGAAAUAAAGUUUUCUCAAAUAUUUUUGUUGAACAUAUUCCCAUUAUAAUUAGCUCAAGCUUUGUAUAAAUCUUUUCUUAAUUAAACAUAGGUGAUCAACCUAUGUUUAAUCGAGGUCCAAUAAUACAACUCCUGACCUAAUUAUACUAGUAAUAUGUUUGAUGUAAAAAGAAUUUCUUUGUAAGUUUUAGUUAUAGGUUGUGUUUUCUUAAAGAAAAACCGAUGUUCUCUAUAACUUUAGCUCUGAUACCACUUCUGUCACACCCCGCUAAAGCGGAAACGCAAGGUAUGACAGCGAUAACGGUUUCAAUGCAAAAGAUAAAGAUACAUCACCAUAGCAGUAUUUAAAAGUUUACAACCCAUAGCUUAAAAGAAACAAAGUACAAGUUUUUCCAAAACAACAUUAAUCAAAAUAUAACUUCAUAAUAGCUUCAACACGAUGCAGCAUGCUCUAUGAUGAUGAAUCUUUACAUUCACUUACUAAUGAUUUCCUGAAAAAGCAUGUAAAACGAGCGUCAACUAUGAAAAUAGUUGGUGAGUAUCACAAGUUUAUAGAUCGAGGGUACAAUAAUGCUUUUCGUAAGUACAAGUACAUUGCUUUAAUGAUAAAACAAAGUUGAUUGCUAUUAAGGAAUACAAGUUUAUUGCUAUAACGAGAAACGCGUUUGUAUGUGUAUGAGCAAACAAUGAGUCUCAACCAAACCUAUGACUGAAGCCCUAUCGAGAUCUAUGCUUAUCGUUCCAUAGAUGAAUAUGGUAUCAUGCACUCCAGCGAUUCGGGCGAGUGAGGAGUUGUCAAUUCCUAAUAGCGCUAUCCAUAAUGACCAUUGGCUCAAAGAGUUAAUGGUUAGAGAUAAGGGAAGGGCCUUAGUACGAUAAGUUCUCAUGUUCCGUGUUGCAUAGACAUACAUAAAGAAACAUAGCAAUACAAUAGCAAUCAUGUUUGAUACAAAUCAAUUUAAAUACAACAUGCAAAUUAUAGUUUUUCUGGACAUGCUUUUCCACCCCAAAACAUAAAAACUGAAAAUAGGGGAGUGCGUGAAUACUCACAAUAUGCAAAAUAUAGUAAUCAAAUUUAUAAGAGUCAACUAAAUAUAACGAACAUAAAUAGUUUAGGACAUGCUUUUCCACCCCAAAACAUAAAAACUGAAAAUAGGGGAAUCGUGAAUACUCACAAUAUGCAAAAUGUAGUAAUCAAGUUUAUGUGAGUCAAUUAAAUAUAACGAACAUAAAUAGUUUAGGACAUGCUUUUCCACCCCAAAACAUUUAAAAAACCAAAAAUAGGGGAGUGUGUGAAUACUCAUAAUAUGCAAAAUAUAGCAACCAAGUUUAUACGAGUCAAAUAAAUACAACGAAUAUAAAUAGUUUAGGACAUGCUUUUCCACCCCAAAACAUUUAAAAAUCGAAAAUAAGGGAUUGGUGAAUACUCACAAUAUGCAAAAUACAGCAACCAAGUUUAUACGAGUCAAAAUAAAUACAACGAACAUAAAAAGUUUAGGACAUGCUUUUCCACCCCAAAACAUUUAAAAACCGAAAAUAGGGGAGUACGUGAAUACUCACAAUAUGCAAAAUAUAGCAACCAAGUUUAUACGAGUCAAAAUAAAUACAACGAACAUAAAAAGUUUAGGACAUGCUUUUCCACCCCAAAACAUUUAAAAACCGAAAAUAGGGGAGUACGUGAAUACUCACGAUGUUUUGUGUAGGCACAAACGGUACUUCGGGAUGCACCAACGUCUUACUACCGGGAUCCUACGACAUCAAACACACGCACUAGUGAGUUUCCAUGUCGAUAUCUAAUGCUAAUAUACUAAACUCUACAUAUAGGGAAAUGCCAAUUUAUGUUUUAGUAUUGGAUUUCAUAUCAAUUGGUUACACUUUUUCUGAAAUAUUGUAAUUUUACAAGUCGUGCGAUUAAUUACAACUUUGGAAUAUUAAUUUUCCAAAUUUUAAGUCUCUUUAACAACAUCAAUUCACGAAAAAUAGUAUUCAAGGGAUAAAAAUUCUCAAACUUUUUAUUUAACUGUUAUUACACAAUACUAAGCUGGGAAAAAUAUAAAAAUGGAUUUCCAAGCUGUUUAAUUAUAUUUUAUGAUUUUUGAGCAUUUAUUUCAAUAAAAAUUGAAAUAAAUAGAAAAAAGUUUCCAAAAUUACCCAAACUUUUUAAUUAACUGUUAGUGUACAUAAAUAGGCUGGGAAAAAUAUAAAAGAUAUUUUUCAGUGGUUAUUUGUAUUUUUCCUUGUUUUAUUCCUUUAAAUAGUCAUUAAUUAAAGAAAUAAUAUUAAACAGUUAAAAUAAAUUACCAUAAAUUUUUGUAACAUCAUUUACAGUAUAAAUAUCCUGGGAAAAAUAUCAAAAGUGGUUUUCAUAAUGUAUAAACUGGUUAUGGGUUUUUAUGUAUAUUUAAGUGUAUUUUAGUGCAAUUAACUUUAGAAAAUAAGAGAAAAAUAGUUUACAGUAGAGAAAAAUAUUCAAAAUUUUUAUGUAACCUCCUACUGUAUAAUAUUAUAUCCUGGUAAAUUUUCAUGAAUUUUGGAUAAUCAGAACUAUUUUUCCCAUUUUUAGACCAUUAUAAUUACCAAGAAUUGGUAAAAAUAGUAAGACAUGAUGAAAAAUCUUGAAAUUAUUUUCUGAAGUCACCCAUGACAGUUAAGGUAUGCGAAAAUUGUUAGAUACAAUUUUCAUAUCCUCUAAGGGGGUUUUGUAAUUUAUCAUGUCCUAAAUAAAAGAAAAUUAGAAAUCGUAUUAAACAGUAACAAAAAUUGCUGAAAUUUGGUGAGGGGUCAUUAUUCCCCAUAAGUAUCAUCCAUGAAUUUAUUUAGGAUUUAUUGACCUCUGGAAGUAUUUUAUAUGAUUUAUGCCCUUGGUUUUAGCAAUAACUCUAAUAAAUCAAAGAAAUAACAAAAGCUCUUGAAAUUUUCCAGAUUAUCUCAUGCAUGCAAGGGCUUUCAAAAGGAAAAAUGUAAAAAAAUGUAUUCAGAAGAGAAAUGAGGGUAAUGAUUCCAAACAAUUUAAGAAAAGUUGCAUGCAAUAAUGCAUGAAGUGUAGAUGUGGCUGAAGUUCAUGAAUUUGUGUAGCCCAUUCAGUGAGGUUUUAAGCCACGAAAUUUCAACCAUCAUUCACUAGAUAUUUUAAGUUUGUAAUGUAUUUUUCCUCGGAUUUAUGGUUGGGUUUAUGUCCAUUGAUUAUGCAAGACAAAAAUAGUGAUCACAGAAAAAGAGCUGUAUGCGCAACCAUUUUGUAAAAAUUUCCAAAUAUCGGAUAUUUAAUAUUUUACAGUAAGACCAGUUGGGUUUGAAAGUUAACUCGUGUAACUAACCAAUACAAAAAGAAUAUCAUGAUUUGGUUAAGAAAUGACUGAGUUAUGGCCGUUCAAAGUCAAACAAAGUAAUCUGGCAGAUUGCAUGUUUGCUUGUGUGCAUUAUUAGGGUAUUUCAACAAGAGCGUCAUGCAUGUCUUUGGUAAGGCCCGAUUUCUAACACAUGCAUGGAAUGAAUGAGCAUCCAAGAUGUACUAGAAAUGGUUUAAAUGCUUUUGGUCAUGUAUGAACACAAAAGAAACGGAGAAGAACAUGAAAUAUUAGGUUUUGAUGUCACAUGAUCAUAUGUGCAUCUUUUUCACUCCUUGCAUGGGUUUGAUCCCGGAUUUUCACCAUCUCUAACACAUGCAUUGUGUUAUGGUGAGAAUCUACAAACCACAAGGGAAAAUAUACAGAUUUCUAGCCAUGGAAUGGCAUAGAAUCCGAAAAGAAGAGAAAACUAAGAAAGAAAAGAAGUAAAAUCAUGUAACUAUGGAAGAAGAUGAUGUUGUUUACCUUUGUUAUGAUCUUGAGGGAAGUAAGAACACUUCAAGGGCUUCACAAUCUCGAAAUUUUGCAGAGGAAUGAGAGGAUUUUCGUGGGUUUAGAGAGA
Molecule: long non-coding RNA, 8910 nt
Filed under: Lactuca sativa (garden lettuce)
Lineage: Eukaryota; Viridiplantae; Streptophyta; Magnoliopsida; Asterales; Asteraceae
Description: long non-coding RNA (LSAT_LNC004440)
Source: RNAcentral